UUUCUUUAGCCAAGAGAACGACGCGAUGGAUCUAGAAAUAUUUUUUAGAGAACUGUCGUUAAAGAUCGGUGAUGAAAUAACCGACGAUAUAAGAAGGACAUUUGAGGAGGAAGAGGUUAAAGGAGAGUACUUGAACCAGAUGUCAACAGAAGACAUGAAGGAUUUGGGGGUGGUGAAAAUUGGGCACCGAUUAGCUAUCAAAUCAGUCAUGCGGGGGAAGCUGGGGA
This is a long non-coding RNA of Bolinopsis microptera, 227 nucleotides long. RefSeq lists it as uncharacterized. The transcript is spliced from 3 exons. The record is from RefSeq and is a predicted model, not a curated record. NCBI's taxonomy places the organism in Eukaryota, Metazoa, Ctenophora, Tentaculata, Lobata, Bolinopsidae.